Molecule: non-coding RNA, 72 nt
Organism: Podarcis lilfordi (Lilford's wall lizard)
Lineage: Eukaryota; Metazoa; Chordata; Lepidosauria; Squamata; Lacertidae
Source: the annotation of a GenBank genome assembly
AGAGCUGUAGCUCAGUAGCAGAGCAUCUACUAUGCAGGCAGAAAGUCCCAGGUUCAAUCCUUGGCAUCUCAA